RNAcentral lists this ribosomal RNA (490 nucleotides) under uncultured bacterium. Its description in RNAcentral is "partial 16S ribosomal RNA". It matches the Rfam family "Bacterial small subunit ribosomal RNA", at positions 30 to 507 of the family's 1533-position model. The record is from RNAcentral.
AUUGAACGCUGGCGGCAGGCCUAACACAUGCAAGUCGAACGGUAACAGGAAGAAGCUUGCUUCUUUGCUGACGAGUGGCGGACGGGUGAGUAAUGUCUGGGAAACUGCCUGAUGGAGGGGGAUAACUACUGGAAACGGUAGCUAAUACCGCAUAACGUCGCAAGACCAAAGAGGGGGACCUUCGGGCCUCUUGCCAUCGGAUGUGCCCAGAUGGGAUUAGCUAGUAGGGGGGGUAACGGCUCACCUAGGCGACGAUCCCUAGCGGGUCUGAGAGGAUGACCAGCCACACUGGAACUGAGACACGGUCCAGACUCCUACGGGAGGCAGCAGUGGGGAAUAUUGCACAAUGGGCGCAAUCCUGAUGCAGCCAUGCCGCGUGUAUGAAGAAGGCCUUCGGGUUGUAAAGUACUUUAAGCGGGGAGGAAGGGAGUAAAGUUAAUACCUUUGCUCAUUGACGUUACCCGCAGAAGAAGCACCGGCUAACUCCGUG